Molecule: long non-coding RNA, 1173 nt
Organism: Poecilia latipinna (sailfin molly)
Lineage: Eukaryota; Metazoa; Chordata; Actinopteri; Cyprinodontiformes; Poeciliidae
Exons: 2
Source: RefSeq, a predicted model, not a curated record
AAAAGUUGAUCUUCCACAAUCCUUUAAAAACCGUCAACAACUUGCACAAAAUGAAGAAGAAAAACAAUUUCAGUAAAUGUGAAAUGUGGAACCAAAGUGUGGUUCCAUUUUCUAGUUGGACCUAAUAAAAUGAUGCACUGCCGGCGCUGGUUUUACAGGAAGAGGGUGAUUUUGUGGGGGAAUAAACAGAGCAGAGCAGCAGGGGGAGAUGGAUUCUGACUGCAAAGAAGAUAGUCUUGGAAUAACCCUGAGUCAUCAUUUCAACUUGAGCGUAAUUGCUUCUUCCUGUCUGAGGGAGGUGCUGUCACUCCAGUCAAGAUCUUGUGCUCUAUGUUUUGAGCUGCUGACUACAUUAAUAAGGGUUUCUAUACAUUUGCCAUAUUUGCACUUAAACUUGUGAGUUACGAAUCUAUUGUGCCCAUUUUAAAAUAUGACUAUGGAUGACAGAGGGGCAUGCUUUAAAUAUGAAACCUGUAAAAACCAGAGAUUGAAUGGAAUACAAAAGGACAACAAGGGAAAACCAGAGCAUAAGGAAGAAAGACAGUUGGACAGAAAGGAGAAAAUAGAACUGACACACUAAGGACCGAAGAAAAAUUAAGGAAACAGGGAAAUGCAUAAGAGAGGAGGGUAAGGAAAAAAUUAACAAAAGACUUUGAAGAAGGAAGGGAGAAACAAAAGAAGAAAAAAAUCUGAGGUGUAAAGAAAAGUAUAAAGGAUUGAGGGAAGGAUACAAUAAUAAAAGAAAGCAGGGAGGGACACAAUAGUUAGACAAUGGGAACAGCAAACAAAGUUUGGAAAUACAAAGAUGUUUCCUUACUGUCUUCUUCCAUACUUAUCCAGACCUGGAAAAAGCUGAAAUAAAAUUCCAGACUUUUGCAGUGUAUGUCGAAAAACUUGUCUAUGCUAAUGUUGCAAGGAAAAUAUGUAAUUGUGACACUACUGCUGAAUAAAAUCUACCAUUUUCCCUGUAUCUCGACACAAUGUUCCUACUACUUUCAGAGAGUCAAGAGUCCUUGUAACUGGCCAAAUAUAUUAUCGAAAUGCUGGGUUUGAGCGCAUGACCCUUUUUUUCCUUUUACAAAUAAGGGUAGCAAACUACCAAAGAAAAAAUAAAAUUUUGCAACUACCAAAGAUGCAAAGAUAUUCAUCCAAAGAGUAUUCUACAAAUCUUGU